UAUGGGCACCAUACAUCUCGUGUCUUCCUCAACCAGCGGAGCUCGACAACACGGGUACUGGACUAUCGAGUUUUUGUUUCUCAAAGUUUUCAAGUGCGUAGUUUCGUUGGGAGGACACCGAGCUAAGUUACUUGAGGGCGAGCCCUUUAUACGGCAAGGCUCGUGAGCGGCUGGAAAUGAUAACAACUGAGUUUGGCCAAGUGCAAAACGGGGAAAUUUUUUACUUUGAUGCUUGAAGGAUUUUUGUACCUGUGUACUGGAGCAGGCACUUGAUGUUUGGCCUCAACUAUUCGGUAAAGUGUCUCUUGAAGACUUGAAGCAUGUAUACGCCACAGUUUUUUCUCGUUCACUAGCCAUUGGAGAGGACUCGACAUUAGUAAUGCUAUGUCUCUCUUUAUUUCUGUUUACGUCCUUGUGUACAUUAUAACGCGGCGUUAGCAGAUACCAAUGCUCGAUUUUUUCAACCACAACGCAACCAGCUUUGCGAAGCUCUAAUUUAACGGGCUUCUCAACUACGCAGUUGUAAGAUACGCCUGAAGUUCUUUCUUUUUCUUUUCCGUACCACAAGCAGGUUACAGAGGACAGAGACUAUGCUGAAAACGAUCAGAUUUGGAUAAACUAUGGUGAUCUUUCAAACGCAGAGCUUGCACUUGAUUAUGGCUUCACUGUGCCUUCACUGAAAAUCCGUAUGACGAGACUGAUCUAUUGACGCAAUUCCCGGAAAUGAACACGAUAAUUGAAGAUCAACUCGGCGGAAACACGCUGUAAAACACAUUCCUUUUUCUUUGAAGAGACACAUUGUUUGUGCUUCUCAGGGGUCAAAAACCACUUCAAGGUUCUCCUGUGUGCCUGGAAGUAGCACGGCGAAUCGAGACGCAUGAAAAAUCAAUCCUGGAACUAAAUCAACACUCAUGGAGGUCGAGAAGUAGACAGCUUCUAGCUGCCGCGUCCUAGAUGGUGAGCUGACGUGAAGCAUUUCGGCUGGAUGGCACACGCCAGGCAUAACUUUGGGAGACAAGAUCUUUUUCUGGUUUUGUGAAGGCCUUGUUUUUCUCCAGGAAAGCACAGCGUUGCUUGAUGUAAGCCGUGGAAUAUAAAUCGGUAAGCGCGUGCAUGCGUCGGAUGAGGCGGUUGGAAAACGACGGGAGGAGCGAGUGCCGUAUAAGAUCGCCGCCCCCGGCUGCCAUGCUGAUCUCUCCUGCUAACGCUGCUUUUUCCUUCUGGCU
Long non-coding RNA from Selaginella moellendorffii, 1226 nucleotides. RefSeq lists it as uncharacterized. The record is from RefSeq and is a predicted model, not a curated record. The transcript is spliced from 6 exons. Lineage: Eukaryota; Viridiplantae; Streptophyta; Lycopodiopsida; Selaginellales; Selaginellaceae.